GACACGAUGGUUCAGCUGUGGACAUCCUUCGCCGAUACUGGAGUACCGUCGACGUUAGGUUUGGAUAACUCGACGAUUUGGGCUCCCUUUUCGUCUCUUGAUAAUUAUCUUCGCAUUGGUAACGGAUCUGACGUAACUCUUGAAGUUCAGUAUGGUUUUCGUAAAGAACGAAUGCAGUUUUGGGAAAAAUUAACCGCUGCUACGACAUGGAAAUAGCCAUUGGAUAACUCUUUUGGACAUGUUUUGAAACCCAUGGUCUGUUUACAACUUUUCAGUGAAUUGCGGCUUAAAGGAGUACGCAUGGCUUGGAAAAAUCUGUUAAAUACCUACCUUAAAAGACCAAUAAUAUAUUCCUAUGUUAUGAUUGUUGAAAUUUUCAUCUGACCACGUGGAAUCUGUGGAUUUUUGAAAUUGACAUGGUCAAUAAAAUAUGUAUGUGACGAAUGCUUCCACGAUCACUAAAUUUUUAAGAAUAAAAUCAAAAUCAAAUAGCGAGGUAUUUCAUGUGGAUACCUACAAUUGGGAGUCGUUUAACACCACAUCAAUUGUAAGGGUCGUGUGAAUGAUAAACUGCUACGUGAUGGUUAUAAGGGGGGAGUUCUAAGACACGUUCCCUAGAAUGAGGUGGGCUUACCGAUCUUUUAUGGGCUUGCCACCCAUUUAUGAGCCGGCUCCUUAAAAUAAUGCGUCCUUCAGAAGCACAUGGAGAAAGUGAGUAUCACAACGGUCGCUAAAGCGAUAUAAAGUAAUUACCAUGGGUAUCAAACGGAAGUCCAUUACUGCGGCAACUUAUAUUUUCUACAAGUCCAUCACGGCGCACAUUAGUCCCAAGUCCCGAAAAACUGGCCAAAACCUCGAAGCAUGAUCUUAUUUGAAUGAAAAUUGGUACUUCGGAAUUAUUGGGAUUGCUGAUUACAAAUCCGGAUUCGAAAUUUGCAUAAACAGAUUGGCAGACCAAAAUAGCAAACUCAUACAUUGAAAAACAAGUCGGAUUUCAACCAAAUUGGUAUACUGGGGCUUUCGAGAUGACUGAUUACAAAUCCGAAGUCGGAAUUAUUAUAAAUAAAAUGUGAUAUUCAAGUUGGUGAAGUUUGUGUCCAAAAUCUCUCGGAUUUCAAUCAAAAUUAAAUUUUGGAAUUUUUGUGAAUCUAGGUUACGAUUUGAUAUAAUUUGCACCAAAACCAUUAUCAAAAUAAAACAUACUGUGCACUUUGA
Neodiprion fabricii is the source of this 1215-nucleotide long non-coding RNA. RefSeq lists it as uncharacterized. The record is from RefSeq and is a predicted model, not a curated record. The transcript is spliced from 2 exons. NCBI's taxonomy places the organism in Eukaryota, Metazoa, Arthropoda, Insecta, Hymenoptera, Diprionidae.